GUUUUUGUGUCUUAUAAUGCAUGUUGAAAGUUUUUUUAUUUUUACCUUGAUUAAAUAUUGGUCCUGUAGAUAUAUGUUAACGUUCAUAAACUUAUAUUAGACAUCUAAAAUAUACUUGUUUCUGAAUGUCUUUGUUUAUGGCUGCCAGUCUAGAUAAUAGGUAUCCAGUCUCCACGGAAAUGUGUGAAUAAACUGAGUCAUGUUGUGCUUUUAGUGGUUUGGGAACCUGGUCACUAUGGAAUGGUGGAAUGAUCUUUGGCUAAAUGAGGGAUUUGCCAAAUUUAUGGAGUUUGUGUCUGUCAGUGUGACCCAUCCUGAACUGAAAGUUGGAGAUUAUUUCUUUGGCAAAUGUUUUGACGCAAUGGAGGUAGAUGCUUUAAAUUCCUCACACCCUGUGUCUACACCUGUGGAGAAUCCUGCUCAGAUCCGGGAGAUGUUUGAUGAUGUUUCUUAUGAUAAGGGAGCUUGUAUUCUGAAUAUGCUAAGGGAGUAUCUUGGUGCUGAUGCAUUUAAAAGUGG
Molecule: small RNA, 519 nt
Filed under: Pongo abelii (Sumatran orangutan)
Lineage: Eukaryota; Metazoa; Chordata; Mammalia; Primates; Hominidae
Description: retained intron
Source: RNAcentral